CCCGGGCCUUGUACACACCGCCCGUCACACCACGAAAGCUGGUUGCACCAGAAGCCGGUAACCCAACCGCAAGGAGGGAGCCGUCCAAGGUUCGACUGGUGAUUGGGGUG
This 110-nucleotide ribosomal RNA is filed under the name uncultured bacterium. Its description in RNAcentral is "partial 16S ribosomal RNA". It matches the Rfam family "Bacterial small subunit ribosomal RNA", at positions 1373 to 1482 of the family's 1533-position model. The record is from RNAcentral.